Molecule: ribosomal RNA, 247 nt
Filed under: uncultured bacterium
Lineage: Bacteria
Description: partial 16S ribosomal RNA
Rfam family: Bacterial small subunit ribosomal RNA
Source: RNAcentral
AUACGGAGGAUCCGAGCGUUAUCCGGAUUUAUUGGGUUUAAAGGGUGCGCAGGCGGGAUGUUAAGUCGGCGGUGAAAUUUUGCAGCUCAACUGUAAAAGUGCCUUCGAAACUGGUUUUCUUGAGUGUAGAUGAAGUAGGCGGAAUUUGUGGUGUAGCGGUGAAAUGCUUAGAUAUCACGAAGAACUCCAAUUGCGAAGGCAGCUUACCGGGGUACAACUGACGCUGAGGCACGAAAGUGUGGGCAUC